This 464-nucleotide ribosomal RNA is filed under the name uncultured bacterium. Its description in RNAcentral is "partial 16S ribosomal RNA". It matches the Rfam family "Bacterial small subunit ribosomal RNA", at positions 339 to 795 of the family's 1533-position model. The record is from RNAcentral.
CUACGGGAGGCACCAGUGGGGAAUAUUGCACAAUGGGCGCAAGCCUGAUGCAGCCAUGCCGCGUGUAUGAAGAAGGCCUUCGGGUUGUAAAGUACUUUCAGCGGGGAGGUAGGGAGUAAAGUUAAUACCUUUGCUCAUUGACGUUACCCGCAGAAGAAGCACCGGCUAACUCCGUGCCAGCAGCCGCGGUAAUACGGAGGGUGCAAGCGUUAAUCGGACUUACUGGGCGUAAAGCGCACGCAGGCGGUUUGUUAAGUCAGAUGUGAAAUCCCCGGGCUCAACCUGGGAACUGCAUCUGGUACUGGCAAGCUUGAGUCUCGUAGAGGGGGGUAGAAUUCCAGGUGUAGCGGUGAAAUGCGUAGAGAUCUGGAGGAAUACCGGUGGCGAAGGCGGCCCCCUGGACGAAGACUGACGCUCAGGUGCGAAAGCGUGGGGAGCAAACAGGAUUAGAUACCCCCGUAGUC